GCCGGCAGACCGCGUCCGCACCCGGUGCAUCUCACACACACACACAGUCGCUUGAUGACAGACGGGGAGGGGGAAGCGGAGAGAAGUAAGCCCCGGAUCAAUCUUCAAGAGAGAAAAUAGGAAAGAAAGACCGCGUCCCACUUUUAUUUCGUUUUUAGCGGCACCUUUCUGACUCAUAGACGUUAGGGAGCCCGAGGAGGGGCUGUGUCACUGUCUGUAGGAUGUCCCGACAUGAAGGUGUGAGCUGUGAUGCGUGUUUAAAAGGGAACUUCAGAGGACGCCGAUACAAGUGUUUAAUUUGCUACGACUACGACCUUUGUGCAUCUUGCUACGAAAGUGGAGCCACAACAACUAGACACACCACGGAGCACCCAAUGCAGUGCAUACUAACCAGGGUAGACUUUGACUUGUAUUAUGGGGGGGAGGCAUUCUCAGUAGAGCAGCCUCAGUCGUUUACUUGUCCUUACUGUGGUAAAAUGGGCUACACGGAAACAUCUCUACAGGAGCACGUGACCUCAGAACACGCAGAGACCUCUACAGAGGUGAUUUGCCCAAUCUGUGCAGCUUUGCCUGGUGGCGACCCCAAUCAUGUGACAGAUGACUUUGCUGCUCAUCUCACACUUGAACACAGAGCACCUAGAGAUUUAGACGAGAGCAGCGGCGUGCGACACGUGCGUCGGAUGUUCCACCCUGGGCGUGGACUGGGCGGCCCGCGGGCACGCCGGACUAACAUGCACUUUACCAGCAGCUCCACUGGUGGCCUCUCCUCUUCACAAAGCUCCUCCUACUCUCCAAGCAAUAGGGAAGCCAUGGACCCCAUAGCAGAGUUGCUCUCUCAGCUGUCGGGUGUGCGGCGCUCCGCAGGAGGACAGCUCAACUCUUCUGGCCCCUCGGCCUCGCAGCUGCAGCAACUGCAAAUGCAGCUUCAGCUGGAGCGCCAGCAGGCACAGGCGGCGCGCCAGCAGCUGGAGACGGCCCGUAACGCUACACGCCAACGCAGCAACCCUAGCAACAUCAGCGCCAACAUCCCGCCGCCCAGCACCACCACAAACACAGCCAUGUCUGAGAGCAACACGCUGGCCUCCCACAGCUCCCAGUUUCUUCUCACACGGUUGAACGAGCCGAAAAUGUCAGAGGCAGAACGGCAGGCGCUGGAGAGCGAGCGCGCGGACCGCAGCCUGUUCGUGCAGGAGCUGCUGCUGUCCACACUAAUGCGAGAAGAGAGCUCGUCUUCCGACGAGGACGAAAGGCGAGACUUUGCUGACUUCGGCGCCAUGGGCUGUGUGGACAUCAUGCCUUUAGACGUGGCUCUGGAGAGCCUCAACCUGAAGGAGAGCUCCACAGGCAAGGAGCCUCCACCACCUCCUCUUUGAUGAUAUCCCACCACAACGCAGACAAUGUCCUCUGUGCUGUAACUGCCAAUGACGGUGAGCGUAGGUAUCUGUGGCAGACCUCUGCUUCUUGUGUCUUGCAAAAGGCUCUCCUUAUAAAUACUCCACAUUCAAAAACUGAAGAGGAAACAAAGAGACCUUCUCUAAUGAAGCUGCUGUGUGUAUUUAUGAAUAUUAAUGAAUAAAAAGUGCUUGGAUGGUUUACCAUAACUACUGCAUGAGGUUAUUUGCAGCGUGCAUGAUUUUUAAUGACCUUGUCAUUAAAAAAGCAAAAUAUCCCAAAGCUUUAACUUUUUUUUUUUCCCAGGGUUACUUGAACACAGCCCACUUGAAAUGGGCGAAAUAUCUACAAGUUUAGGAUUUUUUUGUUUGUUUGUUUAAUAUGGAAAUCAACAGCAAAAUUGGAACCUGCAGUAGCGUCGCAAGAAAAACUGUUAAAAGCUUUUGUCACUCGGCUCCAAUCUGCCCCUUCGUCUGUGUCACAUCAGAGCACAACAGUGACCGCCCACUUUAUCAGCGACAGUGUUUUUCCCAUCCACUUUCUCCAUAAGGAUAAAAAAAAUUAAGCCAAAAACUAAACUGACCAGUUCCAAGAUAAAUCACAACGUACCAUACACAGUAAUUAGGUAUGAAAAAAAAUGAAGGUACAAGAUCGCAUACUUAGAUUCAUUGAUGGUUUGAACUACUCAACCCAUCAAAGCAUUGUGAAUGACAAUCGAAUAAAAACAUGACG
This is an RNA transcript of Sinocyclocheilus rhinocerous, 2124 nucleotides long. It is a transcript of the gene named E3 ubiquitin-protein ligase KCMF1, with no coding region annotated. NCBI's taxonomy places the organism in Eukaryota, Metazoa, Chordata, Actinopteri, Cypriniformes, Cyprinidae. The transcript is spliced from 8 exons. The record is from RefSeq and is a predicted model, not a curated record.